RNAcentral lists this ribosomal RNA (490 nucleotides) under uncultured bacterium. Its description in RNAcentral is "partial 16S ribosomal RNA". It matches the Rfam family "Bacterial small subunit ribosomal RNA", at positions 30 to 507 of the family's 1533-position model. The record is from RNAcentral.
AUUGAACGCUGGCGGCAGGCCUAACACAUGCAAGUCGAACGGUAACAGGAAGACUCUUGCUUCUUUGCUGACGAGUGGCGGACGGGUGAGUAAUGUCUGGGAAACUGCCUGAUGGAGGGGGAUAACUACUGGAAACGGUAGCUAAUACCGCAUAACGUCGCAAGACCAAAGAGGGGGACCUUCGGGCCUCUUGCCAUCGGAUGUGCCCAGAUGGGAUUAGCUAGUAGGUGGGGUAACGGCUCACCUAGGCGACGAUCCCUAGCUGGUCUGAGAGGAUGACCAGCCACACUGGAACUGAGACACGGUCCAGACUCCUACGGGAGGCAGCAGUGGGGAAUAUUGCACAAUGGGCGCAAGCCUGAUGCAGCCAUGCCGCGUGUAUGAAGAAGGCCUUCGGGUUGUAAAGUACUUUCAGCGGGGAGGAAGGGAGUAAAGUUAAUACCUUUGCUCAUUGACGUUACCCGCAGAAGAAGCACCGGCUAACUCCGUG